RNAcentral lists this long non-coding RNA (1227 nucleotides) under Mus musculus (house mouse). Its description in RNAcentral is "predicted gene, 17518, transcript variant 2 (Gm17518)". Lineage: Eukaryota; Metazoa; Chordata; Mammalia; Rodentia; Muridae. The record is from RNAcentral.
GCGUCCUGCGGUCUUCCUGAGCGAAAGCUGGUGAACUGGGGUGCUGGGGUGCUAUCUGCGGGCAUUUCAGCUCCUUCCGCCGCUGCUGAGAAAGUUGAAGGCUUCGAAUUAAAUGAGUAGCAGCUCACCUAGUUCCUCCACACUGUUAGCGGGCAUGCCCGUGCUGGGCUGCCCAGGAAUUCAUUAUGUAGCUCACCCACAGUGAUCCUCCUGCUUCAGCCUCCCACAUGCUAGGAUAACAGCCCAGCCCAGAGGCAAAGAAAUGACUCCUUUUGGAACCUAUUUCAACAAGUCCCUGAGGCGUAUCGACCUUUAACCGCCAGGAAUCCUGUGGUCCUGCUUGAGGUGUGCCAAGACGGAACGGAGCAAAGAAUACCAUAAACCAACAGACUUUGCAAAUACACUGGAAGGAUUGAACUUGGCCUUGCUACCGAGCGCCUCUGACCUCUGAGACAUCACACCAGCCCGAGUUAUGGAUGUGCAGAACCACACAGGCAGCUGAGGGAAACGGGAAGCUAACAACCGCUGAUCACGCUCACAGGCUGAUCCUAAUUGCUUGCACUGCCUAACGCUUGCACACCACAGUGACAAUAAGAUGUGAUUGCAGGUCCCGGAAGCUGGUGGCUUACUUCCCUAGCUGGCAGGUUUGAUUGCAGCUAUUCAAAGACCAUUUAGAUGUGUGCAUGUGUCUAGGAUCCAAAUGGUACCCAAGUCUGCCUUCCCUGACCAACCAGCACCAGGAGAAGGAUACACUGUCCCCUCAGCCCCCAGGGACUUGCCACCCACUGUUAGAUCCCUUCUUAGGGGAUAUAACACACUAAGGGAUAAGCAGAAGUCAGAUGGGCUGACAUAUCUGUAUUCCAGAAGAAACUGAGGAAUGUGUCUCAACUUCUUAAAAGUCCUCAGAGUCGGGAUAUUCUUUAAAUAGUGUUUCUUCUCUCUUUCAUUUAAUGAGUGGAAUCAUGAUUUCCCAGUCCCCAACUGAACCUUGGAUCUCGUGAAUGUUAAAAACAAGUAGCGGGGAGCUGGAGAGAUGGCUCAGCGGUUAAGAGCACUGGAUGCUCUUCCAAAGGUCCUGAGUUCAAUUCCCAGCAACCUUAUGGUGGCUCACAACCAUCUGUAAUGCAAUCUGGUGCCCUCUCCUGCCAUGCAAGGCAUACAUGCAAGGCAGAACACUGUAUGCAUGAUAAUAAAUAAAUAAGUAAAUAAAUAAAUCUUUAAAAAGUA